RNAcentral lists this unclassified non-coding RNA (1998 nucleotides) under Nilaparvata lugens (brown planthopper). RNAcentral describes it as "phospholipase A1, transcript variant X2". Lineage: Eukaryota; Metazoa; Arthropoda; Insecta; Hemiptera; Delphacidae. The record is from RNAcentral.
UGGCAUUGUUGCCGACCUUUUGGAACACCUAAUCGAGGGCAAGUUCACUGAGCCCAGUCGAAUCCACAUUAUAGGCCAUAGUCUUGGAUCACAUGUUGCUGCUAGCGCUGGUCAUAAUAUUAUUCAAAUUACAAAUGAAAAAGUCAGUCGAAUUACAGGUCUUGAUCCAGCUAAGCCAGGGUUUGAAUUGGUUCCCCUUCGAUACGUUGAUAGUGAAAUUGUUAUGCUCAACAAGAGCCUGGCGCAGUUCUUGGAUGUGAUCCAUACAUGUGAUAAUAUUCUCGGAAUCUAUGAAGGAAUCGGCCAUGCUGACUUCUAUCCGAAUGGUGGAAGUCACACUCAACCUGGAUGCUCAUCAUUCUCAGUAGCUUGCAGUCAUGGUAGAGCUUAUGACUACUUUGUGCAGAGCAUUCUCCUGAUGAAUUCUACCAAGUCUCACUUUGUUUCAACUCGGUGUGACUCUUAUUCAGACUUUCUCAAUGGAGCCUGUGACAGCAAUCCGAAAAAUGUUAUGGGUGAAGCUGUGGAUCAAAGUAUCACAGGAUCUUUCCAACUAAUGACCACCAAUGAUCCACCUUACGCCAUCGAAGAAGGAGAUAACAGCUUGGGAUCGUCUAGUUACAGCUCUUGGUUUAGUUUUUGCAGAUCAAGUACAAGGAGGAAGUAAAAAGCCUGUGUUAGUGGAUUUCAUUCUAUAUUGCAGGGAUAGACCAAACGGCGAGUACAUUAAUGUUACUACUCCAACUGAGAAAUUACUCGAAUACUUCACUAAACCGGAAUGCAUUAAAUGCAUUGUUCAUGGGUGGAUGCAAAACGCCUUCACACCAGUAAUUCAAGAUAUUAUGAAAGCUUAUUUGUUGAAGACGGAAUGCUAUGUGAUAGUGGUCAACUGGAAUUAUGAGGCCAAGGAAAAUUAUAUUGCUGCAAUCAAGUUUAUUAGAGGAGUUGGCGAAUUAAUUGCAGAUUUGUUACUCAGAUUGCGAUUUUUGAAGCGUUGUUUUCUGAACUCACUUCAUUUAAUUGGCCACAGUCUCGGUUGUCAUGUGGUCGGAUAUGCUGCAAGAUUUGUCCAUGAGAAAACUGAUUACAAAGCUAAGAUAGGAAGGGUAACAGGUCUUGAUUGUGCCAACCCUGGGUUUGAAACUUUAAGAAUUUCGCAACCAAUGGGUAGAGGAGAUGCCACUUAUUUUGAUGCCAUUCAUACUUGUAGCGGGUUACUUGGAAUGAGUAAAUCAAUAGGAGACUUUGACUUUAGGUGUAAUAAAGGGAAGCAUCCUCAACCAGGGUGUAAAAUUAUGGAUGUUACAUGCAGCCAUCAAAAAUCCUGCUAUUACUUCAAAGAAAGCAUUAUGGAAGGAGAAAAGGCUUUUAAGGCACACUUAUGCGAUUCGAAGAAGGACUUCGAGAAUGGAAAUUGUGAUUAUAAUCCGACUGCCCAUAUGGGAGAGCAUCUCAAAUUAAAUGAUUCAGUACCUGGCGAUUACUACUUGGAGACAAAAUCAGACUCGCCUUAUACAUUGAGUUGAUCAAGCUUUAAUAAUACUUGUAGCACUAGCAGUAACCGUUAGUGAAUAACAGUAAAGUAACAUAGUGAUUACUAUUAUUUGUUGGAAUAAUACAUUGUAUUGUAUGAGGGAUUGAGAGGUAUUUCAUAUUCAUUAUUACAUAAAAUGUCGAUAACUUUGAUGCAAGUUCUGUUAUUAGUUGAGACGGUUUCAAAUAGCAUUCAAGGUUCAUUGUAUCAACGUUAUCGUCAUGUCAUGAGUUGCAUAAGUGAUAAUGAUAACAUUUCUCCCAAUCCACCAUACAAUGCAUGAUACUAUUUCAACAAAUAUAACAGUACUCACUACUUCUUGUGUAUCUUCACGAUAGAUAAAUAACGUAAUUCCUAAGAAUAUAUGUAAUAUUGGUACAAGAUCAAGUUGUAUCUUGAAGGAAUGACGUUCAACUAUUUCAUGUUACUGUUUAAUGUGUUCACAGUAAAAUUGUUUCUUAUCA